UGGGAGAAAAAUAUUUUUGGUAUGUCCUGCUCAAUGCUAAUGUAAAUAGCUGCAGUAUAUUGACUGUACAAAGGUAGCAUAAUCAUUAGUUCUUUAAUUGGGGGCUGGUAUGAAAGGAUGAACGUAAUAUUAACUUUUUUAUUGUUAUGAAAUUUUAAUUUGGAAUUUAAGUUAAAAUACUUAAAUAAAUAAAAGGGACGAGAAGACCCUAUAGAAUUUAAAAAUUAAAUUGUAGAGUAAUUUUUUGGUUGGGGUGACAUAAAAUUAACUUUUUUUUGGUAAAUCAUUGAUAAAUGAUUAAAUGAUCCUAAAAAAUUUGGAGAAUAAGAUAAAAUUACCUUAGGGAUAACAGCAUAAUAUUUUUUUGAAGAUCAUAUUUAUGGAAAUGUUUAUGACCUCGAUGUUGAAUUAAGUUUACAUUUAAAUGUAGAGAUUUAAGUGUUAAGUCUGUUCGACUUUAAUUUUUACAUGAUUUGAGUUCAAAUC
This 486-nucleotide ribosomal RNA is filed under the name Diaphorina communis. RNAcentral's name for it is "partial 16S ribosomal RNA". Lineage: Eukaryota; Metazoa; Arthropoda; Insecta; Hemiptera; Psyllidae. The record is from RNAcentral.